Molecule: ribosomal RNA, 497 nt
Filed under: uncultured bacterium
Lineage: Bacteria
Description: partial 16S ribosomal RNA
Rfam family: Bacterial small subunit ribosomal RNA
Source: RNAcentral
GAUGAACGCUGGCGGCGUGCCUAAUACAUGCAAGUCGAGCGAACGGACGAGAAGCUUGCUUCUCUGAUGUUAGCGGCGGACGGGUGAGUAACACGUGGAUAACCUACCUAUAAGACUGGGAUAACUUCGGGAAACCGGAGCUAAUACCGGAUAAUAUUUUGAACCGCAUGGUUCAAAAGUGAAAGACGGUCUUGCUGUCACUUAUAGAUGGAUCCGCGCUGCAUUAGCUAGUUGGUAAGGUAACGGCUUACCAAGGCAACGAUGCAUAGCCGACCUGAGAGGAGGACCAGAGACACUGGGACUGAGACACGGACGAGAAUCCGACGGGAGGCAGCAGCGGGGGUUAGUGGACAAUGGGCGAAAUCCAGACCCAGAAAUGCCGAGUGAAGGAAGAAGAACUUAGGAUUUUAAACCGCGUUUGGCAUAAACGAAACGAUGGCCGCGAAUACCGGCAGAUAAUGACGGGAGCUAAAGAAUAAGCACCGGCUAACUACGUG